AGUGAACGCUGGCGGUAGGCCUAACACAUGCAAGUCGAACGGCAGCACAGUAAGAGCUUGCUCUUACGGGUGGCGAGUGGCGGACGGGUGAGGAAUACAUCGGAAUCUACUUUUUCGUGGGGGAUAACGUAGGGAAACUUACGCUAAUACCGCAUACGACCUACGGGUGAAAGCAGGGGAUCUUCGGACCUUGCGCGAUUGAAUGAGCCGAUGUCGGAUUAGCUAGUUGGCGGGGUAAAGGCCCACCAAGGCGACGAUCCGUAGCUGGUCUGAGGGGAUGAUCAGCCACACUGGAACUGAAACACGGUCCAGACUCCUACGGGAGGCAGCAGUGGGGAAUAUUGGACAAUGGGCGCAAGCCUGAUCCAGCCAUACCGCGUGGGUGAAGAAGGCCUUCGGGUUGUAAAGCCCUUUUGUUGGGAAAGAAAAGCAGCAGGUUAAUACCCCGCUGUUCUGACGGUACCCAAAGAAUAAGCACCGGCUAACUUCGUG
Molecule: ribosomal RNA, 492 nt
Filed under: uncultured bacterium
Lineage: Bacteria
Description: partial 16S ribosomal RNA
Rfam family: Bacterial small subunit ribosomal RNA
Source: RNAcentral